GCCCCCGUAGCUCAGAUGGAUAGAGCACAGGACUCCGGUUCCUGGUGUCGGAGGUUCGAAUCCUCUCGGGGGCGCCA
This 77-nucleotide transfer RNA is filed under the name Nitrospirae bacterium CG2_30_53_67. Its description in RNAcentral is "tRNA-Arg". It matches the Rfam family "tRNA". Rfam says of the family: Transfer RNA (tRNA) molecules are approximately 80 nucleotides in length. Their secondary structure includes four short double-helical elements and three loops (D, anti-codon, and T loops). The record is from RNAcentral. RNAcentral also lists the same sequence under 5 other names. Lineage: Bacteria; Pseudomonadati; Nitrospirota.